AUUGAACGCUGGCGGCAUGCCUUACACAUGCAAGUCGAACGGCAGCACGGGGCAACCUGGUGGCGAGUGGCGAACGGGUGAGUAAUGCAUCGGAACGUGCCAUUGAGUGGGGGAUAACGUAGCGAAAGUUGCGCUAAUACCGCAUAUUCUGUGAGCAGGAAAGCAGGGGACCGCAAGGCCUUGCGCUCUUUGAGCGGCCGAUGUCAGAUUAGCUAGUUGGUGAGGUAACGGCUUACCAAGGCGACGAUCUGUAGCGGGUCUGAGAGGAUGAUCCGCCACACUGGAACUGAGACACGGUCCAGACUCCUACGGGAGGCAGCAGUGGGGAAUUUUGGACAAUGGGCGCAAGCCUGAUCCAGCCAUGCCGCGUGAGUGAAGAAGGCCUCGGUUGUAAGUACGU
RNAcentral lists this ribosomal RNA (400 nucleotides) under uncultured bacterium. Its description in RNAcentral is "bacterial SSU rRNA". It matches the Rfam family "Bacterial small subunit ribosomal RNA", at positions 30 to 435 of the family's 1533-position model. The record is from RNAcentral.